RNAcentral lists this ribosomal RNA (650 nucleotides) under Campylobacter coli. RNAcentral's name for it is "partial 23S ribosomal RNA". It matches the Rfam family "Bacterial large subunit ribosomal RNA", at positions 1019 to 1732 of the family's 2925-position model. The record is from RNAcentral. Lineage: Bacteria; Pseudomonadati; Campylobacterota; Epsilonproteobacteria; Campylobacterales; Campylobacteraceae.
UUAGAAUAUGAGAAACUAAGUUAUAUGUUUAGUUAUAUUUUUACUGAUUUUUAUAGAGUAAAGAUAGAAAUAAAACUUAGUAAAAUCAGUAAAAAUAUUCUUAGACUAAAGUUAAGUAGUUUAAGUUGUGUGCAAGUGGUAGGAGAGCGUUCUAUUUGCGUCGAAGGUAUACCGGUAAGGAGUGCUGGAGCGAAUAGAAGUGAGCAUGCAGGCAUGAGUAGCGAUAAUUAAUGUGAGAAUCAUUAACGCCGUAAACCCAAGGUUUCCUACGCGAUGCUCGUCAUCGUAGGGUUAGUCGGGUCCUAAGUCGAGUCCGAAAGGGGUAGACGAUGGCAAAUUGGUUAAUAUUCCAAUACCAACAUUAGUGUGCGAUGGAAGGACGCUUAGGGCUAAGGGGGCUAGCGGAUGGAAGUGCUAGUCUAAGGUCGUAGGAGGUUAUACAGGCAAAUCCGUAUAACAAUACUCCGAGAACUGAAAGGCUUUUUGAAGUCUUCGGAUGGAUAGAAGAACCCCUGAUGCCGUCGAGCCAAGAAAAGUUUCUAAGUUUAGCUAAUGUUGCCCGUACCGUAAACCGACACAGGUGGGUGGGAUGAGUAUUCUAAGGCGCGUGGAAGAACUCUCUUUAAGGAACUCUGCAAAAUAGCACCGUA